AAAAAUACAUUGAAGAGAAAAGUAAAUAAGGCUGUUCUUCCCAGAGAGCUCGGAUUGCUGAAAACGAGUAAGAACGAAUUAUUGAAACAAGCCUCGGAGUAGCGCAUUGGAUUUCUGAUUGAAUGAUGGUGCGACGGGAACUCCCGUUACAGAGUAACAGUAUAAGCAUAAGAAUUUAUGCCGUACUGAAAAGGCUAUUAUGGUGACAUAAUAGCGAACUAGGGUGGCACCACGUGAGUAUAAAUUCCACAAUCUCGUCCCUAAG
Molecule: non-coding RNA, 265 nt
Organism: Lysinibacillus xylanilyticus
Lineage: Bacteria; Bacillati; Bacillota; Bacilli; Caryophanales; Bacillaceae
Source: Rfam